AGAGUUUGAUCCUGGCUCAGAUUGAACGCUGGCGGCAUGCCUUAGCACAUGCAAGUCGAACGGCAGCGCGGGAGUCAAUCCUGGCGGCGAGUGGCGAACGGGUGAGUAUAAUAUCGGAACGUACCUGGGAGUGGGGGAUAACGCAGCGAAAGUUGCGCUAAUACCGCAUACGCUCUUUGGAGGAAAGCGGGGGAUCUUCGGACCUCGUGCUCAUGGAGCGGCCGAUAUCUGAUUAGCUAGUUGGUGGGGUAAAAGCUUACCAAGGCGACGAUCAGUAGCUGGUCUGAGAGGACGACCAGCCACACUGGAACUGAGACACGGUCCAGACUCCUACGGGAGGCAGCAGUGGGGAAUUUUGGACAAUGGGGGCAACCCUGAUCCAGCAAUGCCGCGUGAGUGAAGAAGGCCUUCGGGCUGUAAAGCUCUUUUGUCAGGGAAGAAAAAGUUACGCUCUAACAUAGCGUGACGAUGACGGUACCUGAAGAAUAAGCACCGGCCUAACUACGUGCCAGCAGCCGCGGUAAUACGUAGGGGUGCAAGCGUUAAUCGGAAUAACUGGGCGUAAAGCGUGCGCAAGCGGUUGUGUAAGUUAGAUGUGAAAUCCCGGGGCUAACCCUGGGAAUGGCAUUUGAGACUGC
RNAcentral lists this ribosomal RNA (638 nucleotides) under uncultured beta proteobacterium. RNAcentral describes it as "bacterial SSU rRNA". It matches the Rfam family "Bacterial small subunit ribosomal RNA", at positions 8 to 636 of the family's 1533-position model. Lineage: Bacteria; Pseudomonadati; Pseudomonadota; Betaproteobacteria. The record is from RNAcentral.